UGGGGGGUAACGUAGCGAAAGUUACGCUAAUACCGCAUAUUCUGUGAGCAGGAAAGCAGGGGAUCGCAAGACCUUGCGCUCUUUGAGCGGCCGAUGUCAGAUUAGCUAGUUGGUGAGGUAACGGCUUACCAAGGCGACGAUCUGUAGCGGGUCUGAGACGGAUGAUCCGCCACACUGGAACUGAGACACGGUCCAGACUCCUACGGGAGGCAGCAGUGGGGAAUUUUUGGACAAUGGGGGCAACCCUGAUCCAGCCAUGCCGCGUGAGUGAAGAAGGCCUUCGGGUUGUAAAGCUCUUUCGGCCGGGAAGAAAUCGCAUGGGUUAAUACCCUGUGUGGAUGACGGUACCGGCAUAAGAAGCACCGGCUAACUACGUG
This 377-nucleotide ribosomal RNA is filed under the name uncultured bacterium. Its description in RNAcentral is "bacterial SSU rRNA". It matches the Rfam family "Bacterial small subunit ribosomal RNA", at positions 137 to 507 of the family's 1533-position model. The record is from RNAcentral.